This 440-nucleotide ribosomal RNA is filed under the name uncultured bacterium. RNAcentral describes it as "partial 16S ribosomal RNA". It matches the Rfam family "Bacterial small subunit ribosomal RNA", at positions 338 to 795 of the family's 1533-position model. The record is from RNAcentral.
CCUACGGGGGGCAGCAGUAGGGAAUAUUGCUCAAUGGGGGAAACCCUGAAGCAGCAACGCCGCGUGGAGGAUGAAGGUUUUCGGAUUGUAAACUCCUUUUGUUAGAGAAGAUAAUGACGGUAUCUAACGAAUAAGCACCGGCUAACUCCGUGCCAGCAGCCGCGGUAAUACGGAGGGUGCAAGCGUUACUCGGAAUCACUGGGCGUAAAGAGCGCGUAGGCGGGAUAGCAAGUCAGAUGUGAAAUCCUAUGGCUUAACCAUAGAACUGCAUUUGAAACUGUUAUUCUAGAGUAUGGGAGAGGUAGGUGGAAUUCUUGGUGUAGGGGUAAAAUGCGUAGAGAUCAAGAGGAAUACUCAUUGCGAAGACGACCUGCUAGAACAUAACUGACGCUGAUGCGCGAAAGCGUGGGGAGCAAACAGGAUUAGAUACCCUAGUAGUC